Molecule: non-coding RNA, 204 nt
Filed under: Mesorhizobium plurifarium
Lineage: Bacteria; Pseudomonadati; Pseudomonadota; Alphaproteobacteria; Hyphomicrobiales; Phyllobacteriaceae
Source: RNAcentral
CUAAAUCCUGACCCAGACGGUCUUCUCCCGGCAAAGGGAGGAGCCAAGAGGGAAUGCGGUGCGGGCCAAAACCCAAAUCCGCGGCUGUCCCCGCAACUGUAAGCGACGAGCCCCGGCCGAAAACCACUGGGAUAUUCCCGGGAAGGCGGCAUCUGAGGCGACGACCCGCGAGCCAGGAGACCUGCCGUCUGAGACUAAAAGUAU